GGCCCGAUAGCUCAGUCGGUAGAGCAAUGGAUUGAAAAUCCAUGUGUCGGCGGUUCGAUUCCGUCUCGGGCCA
Molecule: transfer RNA, 73 nt
Filed under: Acanthopleuribacter pedis
Lineage: Bacteria; Pseudomonadati; Acidobacteriota; Holophagae; Acanthopleuribacterales; Acanthopleuribacteraceae
Rfam family: tRNA
About the family: Transfer RNA (tRNA) molecules are approximately 80 nucleotides in length.
Source: Rfam by way of RNAcentral